Molecule: unclassified non-coding RNA, 240 nt
Filed under: plant metagenome
Description: partial contains small subunit ribosomal RNA, internal transcribed spacer 1, and 5.8S ribosomal RNA
Source: RNAcentral
UUUCCGUAGGUGAACCCGCGGAAGGAGCAUUACCGAGUGAGGGUCUCUCAGGCCCAGCCUCCCACCCGGUGUUUUUGUUACCGUGUUGCUUUGGCGGGCCCGCCUCGAUGAAAGGCCGCCUGAAGCUCACCGCUCUGGGCCCGUGCCCGUCAGUAGCCCCCUUAAAUUCUUAAUAAACCUGUCGGCUGAGUUAAUGGAUAUAAUGAAAAAAAACUUUCAACAACGGAUCUCUUGGUUCUG